RNAcentral lists this ribosomal RNA (253 nucleotides) under uncultured bacterium. Its description in RNAcentral is "partial 16S ribosomal RNA". It matches the Rfam family "Bacterial small subunit ribosomal RNA", at positions 524 to 776 of the family's 1533-position model. The record is from RNAcentral.
UACAGAGGGGGCAAGCGUUGUUCGGAAUUACUGGGCGUAAAGGGCGCGUAGGCGGCCGGUUAAGUGGAACGGGAAAUCCCCGGGCUCAACCCGGGAACUGCGUCCGAUACUGGCAGGCUUGAAUUCGGGAGAGGGAUGUGGAAUUCCAGGUGUAGCGGUGAAAUGCGUAGAUAUCUGGAGGAACACCGGUGGCGAAGGCGGCAUCCUGGACCGAUAUUGACGCUGAUGCGCGAAAGCCAGGGGAGCAAACGGG